GGUCAUAGCUCAGUGGUAGAUCAUCUGCUUUGCAUGCAGAAGACUGCAGGUUCAAUCCCCGGCAGCUCCA
Molecule: non-coding RNA, 70 nt
Organism: Podarcis lilfordi (Lilford's wall lizard)
Lineage: Eukaryota; Metazoa; Chordata; Lepidosauria; Squamata; Lacertidae
Source: the annotation of a GenBank genome assembly